CCUACGGGAGGCAGCAGUGGGGAAUAUUGCACAAUGGGGGAAACUCUGAUGCAGCGACGCCGCGUGCGUGAAGAAGUAAUUAGUUACGUAAAGCUCUAUCUGCACGGGGGAAAAUGACGGUACCUGAGUCAGAAGCCCCGUCUAACUACGUGCCAGAAGCCGCGGUAAUACGUAGGGGGCCAGCGUUAUCCGGAUUUACUGGGGGUAAAGGGAGCGUAGUCGGUGCGCCAAGUCUGGAGUGAAAUGCCGCAGCUUAACUGCGGAACUGCUUUGGAAACUGGCGAACUAGAGUGCGGGAGGGGUAGGCGGAAUUCGUAGUGUAGCGGUGAAAUGCGUAGAUAUUAGGAGGAACACCGGUUGCGAAGGCAGCUUACUGUAGCGUAACUGACGUUGAGGCUCGAAAGCGUGGGGAGCGAACAGGAUUAGAUACCCCAGUAGUC
RNAcentral lists this ribosomal RNA (440 nucleotides) under uncultured bacterium. RNAcentral's name for it is "partial 16S ribosomal RNA". It matches the Rfam family "Bacterial small subunit ribosomal RNA", at positions 338 to 795 of the family's 1533-position model. The record is from RNAcentral.